RNAcentral lists this long non-coding RNA (229 nucleotides) under Ananas comosus (pineapple). RNAcentral's name for it is "long non-coding RNA (ACOM_LNC042175)". The record is from RNAcentral. Lineage: Eukaryota; Viridiplantae; Streptophyta; Magnoliopsida; Poales; Bromeliaceae.
GUGAAGGUUCACAUCCGAAAAGUACUUUUACUGAAUAUGUGGUAUAAAAGAUCUAGCAUUCUUUUGAAUUAUUUUGAAUUUCAGUUUUAUUUACUUUUUUUAUUUGAAGUUUUAAAUUAUGUAGGGGAAUGUUAGAUUUUAAUUAGGUUUUUCAUGAUUUAAAACUUCAUGGGCUUCUUGGGCAGCCUAAUAUUCCAUGGGCCUUGCUUGAGAGCCCGUACUAAGGUUU